GAUGAAGAACGCAGUGAAAUGCGAUAAGUAAUGUGAAUUGCAGAAUUCAGUGAAUCAUCGAAUCUUUGAACGCACAUUGCGCCCGCCAGUAUUCUGGCGGGCAUGCCUGUUCGAGCGUCAUUUCAACCCUCAAGCCCCCGGGCUUGGUGUUGGGGAUCGGCGUGCCCUCGCGGCGCGCCGUCCCCUAAAUCUAGUGGCGGUCUCGCUGUAGCUUCCUCUGCGUAGUAGCAACACUCGCACUGGAUCGCAGCGCGGCCACGCCGUUAAACCCCCCACUUCUGAAAGUUUGACCUCGGAUCAGGUAGGAAUACCCGCUGAACUUAAGCAUAUCAAUAAGCGAGGA
RNAcentral lists this unclassified non-coding RNA (343 nucleotides) under soil metagenome. RNAcentral describes it as "partial contains 5.8S ribosomal RNA, internal transcribed spacer 2, and large subunit ribosomal RNA". The stretch from base 1 to 120 matches the Rfam family "5.8S ribosomal RNA", at positions 35 to 154 of the family's 154-position model. The record is from RNAcentral.